AGGAGGAGGAGGAGGAGGAGGAGAAGAAGAAGAAGAAGAAGAAGAAGAAGAAGAAGAAGAAGAAGAAGAAGAAGAAGAAGAAGGGUAGUUCUUAGACCUCUCACAGAUCAAGUGCAGCAGAUGGAGGCAGAUCCACAACCAGUCUAAAUGCAGAGAACCAGUGAUUGUGGUACCCAGUCUCAACGGUACAAUUACAAACAACCCCCACACUUAAGGCUCGGGGAACAUCAUGGAAGAGGGGCUAGAAAGAUUGUAACAGCCAGAGGACCAGGAUGCCCAUUGCAGGUUAUAUCUUCUAGACAUGACAAGGAAAAUGGAUCCAUGAAAUGGCAGCAAUGUGGCUGCCCAAACAAGACCUGAACAAUAACCACACUAGUUGACAUGCUAACAUGGAGGGGGACAUUUUGCAAGGUUGCAAAAUAGAUGAAGCAAUGUCUGCUGAGCAAGAAUCCAUUUUUUCCCCCAGCAACGAGUCUCCUGGUAGUUUAUCUAAUUCCAAUCCCAAGUGGUCAGCCUUAAACACACAUUCACAGGAGCAACACUCAAUGGGCUUGGUGAGUUUGGGUGUAUGUGUAUAUGUAACAAUAAUAAUUAUAGAAGAAGAGGUCAUAAAUUUUAGAGGGAGCAGAGUGGGGAUAUGGGAGGAGUUAGAGAGGGAAAGAAAGGGUGAAAAUCAUGUAAAUACAGUACUCAUGUGAAAUUCAUAAAAAUAUUUCUAAAAAAGACAAGAAAAAAAAAAGACACAGACAUGGGAGAUGGUCCUAAUUGGAUUCAUGUUUCCACUAUUCCUGUCCUAUGUUCCAUGUGCCUGAUUACUUUCUUCCAGUCCAGGUAUGAUCCUAUAAUCUCUCUGGUGUUCCUCUGAGAGCUAUAGAGCACAAUGCACACAUCUAAGGUAGCAAUACAGGUUUUCUAUCACCUCCUUGUUUAUCAACACACCACCAUGCAGUUUCUCCUGAUAUCCUGACAUGUAUGUUGGAACCCCCUUCAGGGUUCUCCAGAUCUUUCUAUAUAUCAGUCUGUCUGUGUGUGUGGCUUAUGGACUUAUAACUUCCCUCUUCAUUCUUCUACUUGGAAAAUUUCUUCCCAUCUUUUGAGGGUCAGUUUACAAAUUCUCUUCACUGGGAAACUUUCCUCUUCUUUCCUGGCAGAGCCAGCCUUUCUGUCCUCUGAGUGUUCACAGCCAUUAUGUCCUAAUCUUGGUGGUAACAUUGACCAUAGUCGUCCAUUUUCUCUAGUGGCUGCAGAGAGCCUAGCGUGGUAGGUGCCAAAGAUGUCUUAGCUGAACAAAGCUAACUGAAUCUGCAUAACUGAAUUUUCUUCCUAUGGUAGGUGAUUAUGGCAGCAUGAAGUAAGGGGUUAUAUUCACUUAGGUGGUCCUACAAAACAUAAUUCGGCUAGUGGUGAUACAAUCUCUCUGAGAACAGAUUGUGAGUUCUACAUUACAGUCUUACUUAAGUCAGUGUCCAUUGGCAGGUUUUAUUAGCCUUUUUUUCAAUGACUUUGGGAAAUGUGUGUUUAAUUAGUUAUUUUGUUGAGCUGUUCUAGGGCUGGGGAGAAUGAAAUGAAUAUGAAAAAUGCUAAUUUUGCUUUCAAAGAGUGUGUGCCUAUGAGAAUGAAUUUUAAACUCAGGUGUUGCUUAAAGAAUUAUUAUUUUCAUAAGUAUAACAAGAUAUUGUAUGUAUAAGUAGAUUCAAAAAGCACAGUCAUAUCCAGGUGUGGUGGUGCAUAUCUUUAAUCCCAGCACUUAGGAGGUAGCGGCAGGUGGAUCUCCAUGAGUUCAAGGCUGGUCUGGUCUACAUAGCAAGUUCCAGGACAGCCAGAACUACAGAAUGAGGCUCUGUCUCAAACCAACAAACACCCAUUGUCAUAGCUGUUAUUUGAUGAGUUUGUCGUAUAUAUAAGUCACUGUUGAAAGCCCUUUCAAUAUUGACUUUUAUUAUUCAGUUCUGGAUGCUGGAUUCUAUUAUUACUAUUACUAUUGUUUUUUGAGACGAAGUCCUAUGUAGCUGGACUCAUAUUGGCAUAUAUCUAAGACUGACCUUGAAUUCUUCAUGAUCCUUCCUCCAGUGCCUCAAUUCUGGGAUUUAGAGGCACGAGCUACCAUACCAGGAUAAUAUUAAAUAGACAAUUUAGUUUAAAGUUUUUUUUUCCACGUAGAGCCUUAUGUGUGCUUGGCAAGUACUCCACCACUGAGCUGAAUCCUGACUGGGUUGUGGUAUUAUUUUGAUUUUAGAUAUGGAAACUGCGGCACAGAAGGUUUGGCACCAGCCAAGAAGGGCAGAAUUGGGGUUUAGACUACUCUCAUAUAUUCAUGCUUAGCGUUUGCAUUAAAGGAAUAUUUUCAAGUUAUAAUGAAAUCAGAUUGGAGUCAAGGUUAAGUUGCCUGUUUUUUUUCUCCCACUGGUACCACACCAUGACCAAGAAGGUGCUUCAGGAUGUGAUAGGAAUUAGGGACAGACGCCAGAUUGGAGAUGUUUAGGUUGGAGAGAUACCGCUCUGGCAUUUAAUUGUUCUUCUGACUAUAAUUGUGGGGAAGUUUUUAUUUAGCUUAUUUAGCAUUCUUUAACAAUGAGUAUGUUCAGCAUGUUUGCUGGUGAUCUCAGGAAUUUCUGUUUUGACAUCAUUAAGUUCAAAUGUCGUUUCCUCAGAGGGUUCUCUCCAAUCAUCCUAACAUCCCUUCUCCUUUCAUUCUACUCUAGUUUUUCCAUAAAGCUUCUCAUGACCUGAUAUUGUGUUACUGAUGUGGUAUUCUGUUUAUCACUGUGUCCUAGUGCCUAGAUUAAUGGUAUGUGGUACAUGGUACAUGGUGGUCACUCGAAUCUUUAUUGAACAAACACAUUUCCCAGAACAGCAAGACAGGCAACAACCCUUAGAACAGCAUGGCAUCUCCACAAAAACCAUGCUUGACACGGACAAUACAAAGCAGAAGAAAAGGAGAACAAAACUUUCCAAAUAUGCUUUUAAAGGGAGAACUAUAUUUCAUUAACUUGGCUUGAAAGUAAUUAAUGGCAUUUUUUUAGGCAGUAAGUAGGCAAGUCUUAGAGAAGCCAAGAUAGUCAUUCUAGGUCCCCUCUCCUCCCUUCCCCUCCUCUGCCCUCCCCUUCCCUCCUUUCCCCUCCCCUCUUUUCCUCUUCUCUCCUUCUCCUCUUCUUUUCCUCUCUCCUCCACCUCUUUUUCUUCUCCCCCUACCCCUUUGUCUUCCGUUUUCCCUGUGUGAGAAGCAGUAACUGUACCUCAUCAUCCAUAGACAUUCUCCUGUUUCUGUCUUUGGGACUCUAUCCUUGUUUCAUGGAGGUUACAUGUCUGGAGAAAGCCAUGAGAAAUGAUGUUCAAAAUAUGCUAGACAUGUAACUCCAGGGUUGACUUUUUAAUGUUAGUUUUUCCAAAACGUAUCUUUAACAACCAUACAUUUCUGGCUUGUGAAUAAAUUAGAAUGCAAAUGUCCAUCCACCAUGGAAAGCCCACAGUUAUCUCCUUGACUGUGCUCACUACAGUGUAUCUUUAUGUCAUUAUCAAACUGGUUGUUAGACGAGUCUCUGGGUAGAAAGCUGCUGAGCCUGGGGAAAAGAUGAAAGUUGAGAGUUAGAGCGAGAUGAAGACAUCAGCAAAGGCAUCACAGCAAACAGCUUUAUAAUGAUCAUUUCUCAGACUAGAAAUUUUUGUUUCUAAUGUCUGGCUUCUGUGGACUGUGGCUGCUGCUGCUUCUGCUGUCUUCCCAGUCUCUGAUGUUUAUGGAAGAAAGCAACCAUCUAGACUCCGGUUUGGUUUCCCUCGUUACCAAAUGGAGCUCCGUCUGUCGGUUGAUGUCAUUUGACUGGCUGCCACACUAUCUGGAGGACAGAGUACAGAGCAGUCCUCUCUCCUCAGCCUUCUGAGUCGCAGGAUUACAGGUGUCAGCCACCGUGUGGGCUUAGUGCUGAGCAGUUUUGACCCAAAGAGGAGCGUAUUUGAGGUUUAUAGUUCUUGUGUUUGUCAGACUUGAUUUUGUGGGGAGAAUAUUCCAACUUCUAAUAAAAUUUAAGCACUUAAUCUG
This is a non-coding RNA of Peromyscus maniculatus bairdii (prairie deer mouse), 4036 nucleotides long. Lineage: Eukaryota; Metazoa; Chordata; Mammalia; Rodentia; Cricetidae. The record is from RefSeq and is a predicted model, not a curated record.